GUCGUUGUAGUAUAUGUGGUGAGUAUCCCCGCCUUGUCACGCGGGAGACCCGGGUUCGAUCCCCGGCAACGGCG
RNAcentral lists this transfer RNA (74 nucleotides) under Ipomoea nil (Japanese morning glory). It matches the Rfam family "tRNA". Rfam says of the family: Transfer RNA (tRNA) molecules are approximately 80 nucleotides in length. Their secondary structure includes four short double-helical elements and three loops (D, anti-codon, and T loops). The record is from Rfam by way of RNAcentral. Lineage: Eukaryota; Viridiplantae; Streptophyta; Magnoliopsida; Solanales; Convolvulaceae.